AGUGAACGCUGGCGGUAGGCCUAACACAUGCAAGUCGAACGGCAGCACAGUAAGAGCUUGCUCUUACGGGUGGCGAGUGGCGGACGGGUGAGGAAUACAUCGGAAUCUACUUUUUCGUGGGGGAUAACGUAGGGAAACUUACGCUAAUACCGCAUACGACCUACGGGUGAAAGCAGGGGAUCUUCGGACCUUGCGCGAUUGAAUGAGCCGAUGUCGGAUUAGCUAGUUGGCGGGGUAAAGGCCCACCAAGGCGACGAUCCGUAGCUGGUCUGAGAGGAUGAUCCGCCACACUUGAACUGAGACACCGUCCAGACUCCUACGGGAGGCAGCAGUGGGGAAUAUUGGACAAUGGGCGGAAGCCUUAUCCAGCCAUACCGCGUGGGUGAAGAAGGCCUUCGGGUUGUAAAGCCCUUUUGUUGGGAAAGAAAAGCAGCAGGUUAAUACCCCGCUGUUCUGACGGUACCCAAAGAAUAAGCACCGGCUAACUUCGUG
RNAcentral lists this ribosomal RNA (492 nucleotides) under uncultured bacterium. RNAcentral describes it as "partial 16S ribosomal RNA". It matches the Rfam family "Bacterial small subunit ribosomal RNA", at positions 29 to 507 of the family's 1533-position model. The record is from RNAcentral.